UCUGGAAGCAAUGGAGAAGGCAGCUGGAACAGUAGUGAUUGGGGCUUGGCGAGUAGAAGAUGAAUCUGAGCUUAGGUUUUAGCGCGUGCGCCGUGGCGGCGGAUUAGGGUUGUGGAGGGGAUGAUGGUGAGCGAGCACGGUGGCGGCGCCUGUGAAAGAGAAUGAGAUGGUGAGAGAGAUAGAGAGAUCGACGAUACUGAACGUAAUGUGAAUGUCAUGAUCUUAACCUACCGACGACUUUGAGAGAAACGGCGGAGCAACCGCGGCGACGGCGAGGAUGAACGGCGCCGGAAGAGCGAGAAACGCGUAGGGUUUGCAAUUAGGGGAAAAUGAUAAGAAGAAAAAUCACGGCUGACCUUUAGAUUUGAA
Molecule: long non-coding RNA, 369 nt
Filed under: Salvia miltiorrhiza (redroot sage)
Lineage: Eukaryota; Viridiplantae; Streptophyta; Magnoliopsida; Lamiales; Lamiaceae
Description: long non-coding RNA (SMIL_LNC006972)
Source: RNAcentral